ACACUGUAAAAAAAAUCUGUAAAAUAACAGUUAAAUGACUGUAUAUUUUAACAGAUUUUUUCCGUAUACACGUAUUACGGGUGUUUUUCCGUUUAUAUACAUUUUCGAAUUGCAUUGUGGGAAGGGGAUCGCAGCUCAGACAGCGUUUGAUGGACAUCGGGACAUAUUUCUUCCUCUGUUUUUUCCCUGUUGUUUGUCCGUAUUUUUCUAAACUGCCGUGCGCGGGAAGUGGCGUGACGUCCAAUCACCCACUCACUCCCUCUGCACCUGACUGGAUUAACGGUAAACGUCAGUUUGUCUGUAAGAGUGUAAAAGGUUCUUUCAUUUUGGUUAUAAGUACAUGUUACAGGUAAAUUCUUAGAUUCAAUCCAAACUGAAUUUGAAUUAAUACGGACAAAUGAAAUAAAAUACACCUGGGAUUUUAAAUGUUUUCAUUUUUUUAUUAUUCACAACGUUUGUGAAGUCUAAAUGUAGACUGUCUCAAACUGAAUGAGAGUUAUUUUUGAUGUAGGUGUGUUGGUGUAAAAAUUGAUGCUGACUGGUUAGUACUGCAUUUUUAACCAUAACAAUAAUGAUUUAUAUUUAGCAUUGCAUCUAUUGUCAUUUUACCAAGAAUGUGUUUGCUCUUUCAGAACUCAGGCAGUUGUGCUGGACCCUCUGUACCUUAUACAGGAGAUGACUGUAAACUUUCAAGUUUAAGAGGUGUGUUGGUGUAAAAAGUGAUGCUGACUGAACUCAGGCAUUUGUGCUGGACCCUCUGUACCUUAUACAGGAGAUGACGGUAAACUUUGAAGUUUAAGAGGUUCUGUAAUUUUGGUUAUAAGUACAAGGUGUGUUGGUGUAAAAAUUGAUGCUGACUGAACUCAGGCAGUUGUGCUGGACCAUCUGUACCUAAUACAGGGGAUGACAGUAAACUUCCAAGUUUAAGAGCCACCUGAUGAUGAGAGAGACAAUUUCAAUGUGGGCAUCUUGAUGAAGAAGAGUCCACAGUCACAAUAACAAGAUCAUUGAGCUGUCCCCUAAUUGUGGUGAGCUACAUGUUUAGUCUCUUAUGUGCUAAACAUUAUGUAGCCUAAGGAAGCAGCCCUGACUCUGGAGUUUAUAUGAAGGAGCAUGCUGAGUAACUAUCCAGAAUGUAGGUCCAUAGCAGAAAAAAGUGCACCAAGCAGAAACAUACCAUCUAAACUCCUUCGAUUCCUGUCAGACCAGAAAGACUUUCAGAAUCCUUGGAAGAUUUAAAGCCAUUGAAGUAUUAGUAUUGGAGCGGAAGAAGACCCAGUUGUAUCGUCUGUUUCCUGCCAUCUUGCAGUUAACCUGGUUUCUUAAUGUAAAGUACUUGUAAUUUGCCCACUUGUCCUCAAUUAUCUUAAAGCUAACAUUUAAAACUAAUUUGCUUUGAGAUUAUUUGCCAAGACUUCU
Non-coding RNA from Danio rerio (zebrafish), 1419 nucleotides. NCBI's taxonomy places the organism in Eukaryota, Metazoa, Chordata, Actinopteri, Cypriniformes, Danionidae. The record is from RefSeq and is a predicted model, not a curated record.